AACGAACGCUGGCGGCAUGCCUAACACAUGCGAGUCGAACGAGACCUUCGGGUCUAGUGGCGCACGGGUGCGUAACGCGUGGGAACCUGCCCUUAGGUUCGGAAUAACUCCCCGACAGGGGUGCUAAUACCGGAUAAUGUCUUCGGACCAAAGAUUUAUCGCCUUUGGUUGGGCCCGCGUUGGAUUAGCUAGUUGGUAGGGUAAAAGCCUACCAAGGCGACGAUCCAUAGCUGGUCUGAGAGGAUGAUCAGCCACACUGGGGGGGGGACGCGGCCCAGACUCCUACGGGAGGCAGCAGUGGGGAAUAUUGGACAAUGGGGGAAAGCCUGAUGCAGCAAUGGCGGGUGAGUGAUGAAGGCGUGAGGGUUGUGAAGCUCUUUUAACCGGGAAGAUAAUGACAGUACCGGGAGAAUAAGCUCCGGCUAACUCCGUG
RNAcentral lists this ribosomal RNA (433 nucleotides) under uncultured bacterium. RNAcentral's name for it is "partial 16S ribosomal RNA". It matches the Rfam family "Bacterial small subunit ribosomal RNA", at positions 29 to 507 of the family's 1533-position model. The record is from RNAcentral.